RNAcentral lists this ribosomal RNA (253 nucleotides) under uncultured bacterium. Its description in RNAcentral is "partial 16S ribosomal RNA". It matches the Rfam family "Bacterial small subunit ribosomal RNA", at positions 524 to 776 of the family's 1533-position model. The record is from RNAcentral.
UACGUAGGCAGCGAGCGUUGUUCGGAGUUACUGGGCGUAAAGGGUGUGUAGGCGGUUGUUUAAGUUUGGUGUGAAAUCUCCCGGCUCAACUGGGAGGGUGCGCCGAAUACUGAAUGACUAGAGUGCGGGAGAGGAGAGUGGAAUUCCUGGUGUAGCGGUGAAAUGCGUAGAUAUCAGGAGGAACACCGGUGGUGUAGACGGCUCUCUGGACCGUAACUGACGCUGAGACACGAAAGCGUGGGGAGCGAACAGG